GAUGAACGCUGGCGGUCUGCUUAACACAUGCAAGUCGAACGGGCUCUUCGGAGCUAGUGGCGGACGGGUGAGUAACGCGUGAGAAUCUGCCUUCAGGAGGGGGAUAACGACUGGAAACGGUCGCUAAUACCCCAUAUGCCUCCGGGUGAAAAGUAAUUCGCCUGAAGAUGAGCUCGCGUCAGAUUAGCUAGUUGGUGGGGUAAGAGCCUACCAAGGCGACGAUCUGUAGCUGGUCUGAGAGGAUGAUCAGCCACACUGGGACUGAGACACGGCCCAGACUCCUACGGGAGGCAGCAGUGGGGAAUUUUCCGCAAUGGGCGCAAGCCUGACGGAGCAAGACCGCGUGGGGGAUGACGGCCUAAUGGUUGUAAACCCCUUUUCUCUGGGAAGAAGACUGACGGUACCAGAGGAAUCAGCCUCGGCUAACUCCGUGCCAGCAGCCGCGGUAAUACGGAGGAGGCAAGCGUUAUCCGGAAUUAUUGGGCGUAAAGCGUACGUAGGUGGUUAUUCAAGUCUGCUGUCAA
Molecule: ribosomal RNA, 524 nt
Filed under: uncultured cyanobacterium
Lineage: Bacteria; Bacillati; Cyanobacteriota
Description: bacterial SSU rRNA
Rfam family: Bacterial small subunit ribosomal RNA
Source: RNAcentral